GGACCAAUGAAGGAAUUAUUGGCAUGCACUAAAGGAGAUAGCAAGAUGGGUCAGACACACAUAUGAGAGUCAUUGGCAACACCCGGGUAAUGUAAGAUCCUGCACCGGCUGGGGGCUCCAGAGAGGAACAGUAGGGAAGAAUGUCUGUCCUGAACAUCUGUCCCUUCUGCAGCCCCCAUUUUCCUCUCCGCCCUGGCGCACCCAGCCCCAGCCCUGCUUCCUGUGGACGUCAGGUAGUGAUGCUCUUCCCCUCAGGCCUAGAUAAAGGUAGGGUAGGCAAGGCCCAGCCACUGAGCUCACAGAAGGCAGCACCAGGCAUCCAGACUGGCGGGGGCGCAAGGUAGCGGGGACUCAUCUCUGGAGAAGGAGUUCCUCGGGGCCCCAGUGGGGCCCUCGGUGAGCACCCCCAACAGCCAGCACUCUUCUCCCAGCCGCUCACUCAGUGCCAACUCCAUCAAGGUGGAGAUGUACAGCGAUGAGGAGUCAAGCAGA
This 492-nucleotide small RNA is filed under the name Pongo abelii (Sumatran orangutan). Its description in RNAcentral is "processed transcript". The record is from RNAcentral. Lineage: Eukaryota; Metazoa; Chordata; Mammalia; Primates; Hominidae.